Long non-coding RNA from Zophobas morio, 2400 nucleotides. RefSeq lists it as uncharacterized. NCBI's taxonomy places the organism in Eukaryota, Metazoa, Arthropoda, Insecta, Coleoptera, Tenebrionidae. The transcript is spliced from 5 exons. The record is from RefSeq and is a predicted model, not a curated record.
UACUAUAUGAUUUGUUGUUAUUUAUUUGUUCCCAACAAUUACUAUUUAUUCAUUCAUCGAUAUAUCGGAAUUUUCUGCUGUUCACAUGGCACACCGUUUCACCGUUCCUCCGCGAAAGAAUAUUGAAACCGUUCCUACGAUCACCGUUCCUGCGAUCACCGUUCCUCCGCGAGAGAAUAUUGAAACCGUUCCUGUGAUCACCGUCCAAGUCACGGUGACAAGAAAGAACCGUGAAAAGUCACGGUUCACGCCGGCGCGGUGAUCCUAGUAUUAAAUCGCUACUUUCGUCGCUCGCCGUUCCUUGAUCACAGAGAUAUGGAGAAGGAGAAUGAGCUUCGACUUCUGCGCAUCGGUACACUAUGGGGGCCGCCAUUUUAUCAGUUAACCUUAAAGUUUUGUUUACCUACGAGGUUACGACGUUGUUGAACCAGUUGUAAUUUGGAGUUAAAAUUAUUACUUAAUUUGUUUUACCGUUAGUGUACGUGUGAACGUGCUUGUUAGUGUUAAAGGACAUUAUUAUUGACAACAAACAUGUCUUGUGCAGUUUCUCACUGUAAAAAUUGUCAACGAUUUCGUUCAGAAGGUGUAUCUUUUCAUCAGUAAGUUUUCUUCAUUAUCUUAUUAAAAUCGAAUACGUAGAUAGUUAUAAUUAAUAACAAUUGGUUAUUGCAAUACUAUGUGAUCAAUAUUUAUUAUAUCUGAUUUUAGGUUUCCGAAAGAUCGAAAACUUUUAAAAAAGUGGCUGAUUGUUGUGAAAAAAGAUGACAGUUUCAAACUGACUAAGUAUAAGCUGGUGUGCUCAGAUCAUUUCACAACAACUGAUUUCAUUGUUGUAAAUGAGUGAAAACGAUUGAAAUCGAACGCAAUUCCCAGUGUGAAUUUAGAUGAAAGUCUAGAAGCUUCUUCAACUUCAAUGAGUACUGUGAGUGCUACUUCAGCUGAUAUUUGAGAAGAGUCUCCAUCGAUUAUACCUCAAGGUGUAAAGAGGACAUUAAGUGCUGCGCAGAGAUACCAUGGAAAAAGCAGUAGCAGUACAAGUGGAAGUAAAAGCAAGAACUCAAAAAGUAGUUCUGACAGGAGGGAAGGUGAUAAGCUGGCGUUACAUAAAAAAACUACAUGAAUUACAAAGUGAUGAAUUCCUAAAUGUUGCAAACAAGUUGAAAAAGGCACAUUUGGAGUGAUGGAAACAUAAAAUGAAAUUCUAUUAUAGGUGAGUUUAGCAGCACAAACUCUUAGCAAGAGUUGCGGAUGCACUUGAAUUUUUAAAAGAUCUUGGUAUUAGUGACUUUCAAGGUUGUGAAACAACAAUAGAAUUCAUCAGAAGGAUAGAUUCUUUAUUUGAUAUUCUCAAUUCCCGAAGUGUACGUGCUAAGAAUUUUAAGGCACCUUUGAGAGAAAACAAUGAAGAAAUGUGGCGUCCAUUUCUCAUCGACACCAGUGAGUAUCUUCUGAAUUUGAAGGAUGUCACUGGCGGCCCUUUGUGGUGCACGCCCCGAAAAACGUCAAUUCUGGGCUUUGUUAUUUCCGCUACGUCGUUCAUGGGAAUUUUUGAUGAAUUUGUUAGUAGUAAGAGGUUGAAUGACUUGCUAACAUAAAUGUAGUCAAGAUCAUCUAGAAAUUUUCUUCUGCUCAGUGCGAUCGAGAAAUGGGUGAAACAAUAACCCUACUCCUCUACGAUUUUGUAAAACUUAGAAGAUUGCUUCUAUUUACAAACAUAACGAGGGAAGGAGGAAAUUGUAAAGUGCUUUGCACCACCUGUCUGCUCUCUGUUAACAUUGGCCCAAAGCAAAAGAGCACAAAUGUUCAACAAUCAGUUGACGUGUUUGUCUUGAAAAAAUAUGAUCUCGAUAUUUUGACUGAAGCACUUGCAGAUCAUGACUAUGACCGUCUAAGUUUAUUGGGCUGAGUGAAGUGGCAGAAAACGUGGCAUAUAUUGGUAGCUAUGUUGUCAAAAUGGUGGUGAAGACGUUUAAGUGCGCAGACUGCAUUUCUUCUUGUAUUGAAACAAGAAGAAGUGACUUACACUUUUACAGAUUAUUGGACAAAAAAAACAUGGGUGGGCUUAUUAAACCUUUUGCUGGGGUUGUGAAGACUUGUUGUUACUGUUAAUACGAAAAAUUUUGCAACUCACCGAUAAACUUCCAAACGAUGAACAAUUUUUUAAAACUUUCGGCAUGCCAGCAUUCUUUUUCCUAAUUUAGAAGACCCACGCACUCGAGACGGUGGCCAUCGAUGAAGGCCAUUUAUAUAUUCUUAUUAAACAAAUAAUUAAUGCCUACAUGCGAAUAAGAAUGUUUCAUUUGAGCAAAAGACUUUCAUGUCUUGCUCAAGGCACUUCUGUUAGACAUGUGUACACAUAAUUAGUACUGUUUUCGCAUCAAUAAAUAUAUUGAAGUAUAA